CACGUAGGGUGCGAGCGUUGUCCGGAAUUACUGGGCGUAAAGAGCUCGUAGGUGGUUUGUCGCGUUGUUCGUGAAAACUCACAGCUCAACUGUGGGCGUGCGGGCGAUACGGGCAGACUAGAGUACUGCAGGGGAGACUGGAAUUCCUGGUGUAGCGGUGGAAUGCGCAGAUAUCAGGAGGAACACCGGUGGCGAAGGCGGGUCUCUGGGCAGUAACUGACGCUGAGGAGCGAAAGCGUGGGGAGCGAACAGG
RNAcentral lists this ribosomal RNA (253 nucleotides) under uncultured bacterium. Its description in RNAcentral is "partial 16S ribosomal RNA". It matches the Rfam family "Bacterial small subunit ribosomal RNA", at positions 524 to 776 of the family's 1533-position model. The record is from RNAcentral.